UACGGAGGGUGCGAGCGUUAUUCGGAAUCACUGGGCGUAAAGAGCGUGUAGGCGGCCGGUUAAGUCAGGUGCGAAAGCCCGGGGCUCAACCCCGGAAGUGCACUUGAAACUGGUCGGCUUGAGUUCGGGAGAGGGAAGCGGAAUUCCUGGAGUAGAGGUGAAAUUCGUAGAUAUCAGGAGGAACGCCGGUGGCGAAGGCGGCUGCCUGGACCGAAACUGACGCUGAGGCGCGAAAGCGUGGGGAGCAAACAGG
RNAcentral lists this ribosomal RNA (253 nucleotides) under uncultured bacterium. RNAcentral's name for it is "partial 16S ribosomal RNA". It matches the Rfam family "Bacterial small subunit ribosomal RNA", at positions 524 to 776 of the family's 1533-position model. The record is from RNAcentral.